GGGAUAACAAAACCCCAAGAUUAGUGAUUUGCUGCUCCUUGUUCUUAUAAGUGAGCCAUAUGAUACUCACCUGCAAUGUGUCCUGACCAUUGCCUAUUAUUUGGCUGUCUGAAAGGAGAUGUACAAGGUUUAUUUCCAUUGAAUAGCAAACACUGCUCUGUGGGCAUUGAAGUCAAGAAGAUGGCUAAUUCUAGCAGAAGAGCCCAGGUCCAGCUGGAGCCAGGGGGAAAGAACGGGGUAUCUUACUGUCUGUGGGAGUAUGAGGCACAACAGGACCCUGACAUCAGCUGGGGUUUCUAGCUCCUAUUGCAAUACAACCCUUUUCAGUUUUCAUUUUAAAAGGUGCUGGUUUUUCAGUUCAAGUGAUCAUGAGAAUAAUUUCCCAACCAUUGCAGAGAACAGAAGACCUUCCUGUACAGUUCCCAGAGUCUUGGUACUGACCUUGCUUUUUUUUUUCAUGUCAGCCAAGAAACAACCCAUCCCUGUUACCACACAAGGGCACUUGUUUAAUGUUGAUGGAGAAGGAAAUGUACCACCUACUGAGUCACCAAUGCCACAUCCUAAACACCUGGCUUUUGCCUUGCUGGGCUUCCAUUUAAUUAUGAAUCUAGCAUGAGAAGAGCUGUCGAAAAUGUCUAUAAUAAAACCUCAAACCACACAACACCUUCCUGGGUGGGACGUACAUUAUGAUCUCCUAAAGUUCAGCAACCUCCAGAAGAAAAUUGUAAACCCUUCCAAAGCAGACCUGAGUUAUCCAUUUUGGUUUUGUUCAGUUUCAGGGACAAGAACUGCAUGUCACAACCCAAAGCAAGGCAUUACUUUCUUUGAAGUCAAAAAUAAAAUCACAGCUAAAAAAAAAUGUUUAAAGCAGCCGUACAAAUUAUGGUCAAAUCUGCUGUGGCUUAAGAUGCCACCCUUUUACUGUCACUACCUUUGUGAGAGUUGAUCCAAAUUCAUCUUAUUCUCACAAGACUUCCAUGGAAAAAUAAAAUAAAGGCAGAUUUUUUAAAGCCAAAUUAAAAGCAUUUCUUACAAGUGAAAUUCCUGUCUGCUAGACAACAAAUCAUUUGCUGUCCACAGUAUAUCCCAUAGUUGACAAACAAAGCAGUAUUUUACCACCCUAUUGCAAAACACAGUACAAUAUGUUUUGGGAAAUGAUUGUUCAUUAAAAAAAAACAUCAUCUAGAGCAAUACAAUGCAACAGGAGUCACAUGAGUGUGCUACAUCCUGUGACUGGCUCUGAAGUAAGUGUGGAAACAGUCACAAAGCAUUUCUGGGCAGGAGGCAAAACACUUUUCUACAGGACAUCAGCUCACAGACAGGCUCACUCACCUUCGGUUUGUCCCGACUCACCCCGCGAUCCCUUUAACCCCACACCGAGAUGCUCAGCCUCCUGGCAGCUCUCCCACAAGCAGGAUGGCCCAGCUAGCAUCCUUCAAAGACACUUUCUGCAGUGAGUGGCUUCCACAAAAAAAAUAAAAAAAAUAAAAAAAAUUUUGUCUACCUAAAGCUUCUCUUCCUUUCAUAUGUGCUACCUGAAGAUAGUCCUGUGCUCAAGCUCACAGCCCCAAACCAUAAAUGUGAGAUUUGAGGGGAGGAAGAAGUAAGGCUAGGGAAGAGAGUAAUGACAUAGAGUGCCACUUCUGCAACUCACAUUCUUUCUAAGUGUGAAUUUCCUUGCCUCUUUUGAACUAAUACUAGC
Long non-coding RNA from Cygnus olor (mute swan), 1702 nucleotides. RefSeq lists it as uncharacterized. NCBI's taxonomy places the organism in Eukaryota, Metazoa, Chordata, Aves, Anseriformes, Anatidae. The record is from RefSeq and is a predicted model, not a curated record. The transcript has 3 exons.